CGUAGUGGCGCACGGGUGCGUAACGCGUGGGAAUCUGCCCUUGGGUUCGGGAUAACAGUUGGAAACGACUGCUAAUACCGGAUGAUGACUUCGGUCCAAAGAUUUAUCGCCCAGGGAUGAGCCCGCGUAGGAUUAGCUAGUUGGUGAGGUAAAGGCUCACCAAGGCGACGAUCCUUAGCUGGUCUGAGAGGAUGAUCAGCCACACUGGGACUGAGACACGGCCCAG
Molecule: ribosomal RNA, 226 nt
Filed under: uncultured bacterium
Lineage: Bacteria
Description: partial 16S ribosomal RNA
Rfam family: Bacterial small subunit ribosomal RNA
Source: RNAcentral